This 1392-nucleotide ribosomal RNA is filed under the name human gut metagenome. RNAcentral describes it as "bacterial LSU rRNA". It matches the Rfam family "Bacterial large subunit ribosomal RNA", at positions 1100 to 2494 of the family's 2925-position model. The record is from RNAcentral.
GUUGGCUUGGAAGCAGCCAUUCAUUCAAAGAGUGCGUAACAGCUCACUAGUCGAGAGACCGGGCAUGGAUAAUAAUCGGGUAUUAAGUCAGAUACCGAAGGCACGGGGUAGCAGAGUAAUGAAAAGUACCGGUAGGGGAGCAUUCCACCUCCGUCGAAUGGUUUCCGUGAGGAUUCCUGGAGGGCGUGGAAAAGCAAAUGUAGGCAUAAGUAACGACUAGGGGCGUGAGAACCGCCCCCGCCGCAAGUCUAAGGUUUCCCGGGCGAUGCCAGUCAGCCCGGGGUCAGUCGGGUCCUAAGGCUCAGCCGAACGGCGAGGCCGAUGGCAGACACGGUUAAUAUUCCGUGACCCUCUGCUGGAGCGACGUGGAGACGGAGCAGUGACACCACCGCGCCCUGACGGAAUAGGGCGUUGAAGGCCGUAGGUGCUGACGGAGGCAGGCAAAUCCACCUCCAGAGCUGAAAGCCGACAGUACGCUUCCUCCUUCGGGAGGCGGCGACAGCGUGGGUAAGCAUACUUCCUAGAAAAUCCGCUAAGCAUAUCCAUCGGAGGCCCGUACCGCAAUCCGACACAGGUAGACGGGUAGAACAUACUGAGGCGUUGGGAGAUUCAUGGCUAAGGAACUAGGCAAACUGACCCCGUAACUUCGGGAUAAGGGGUCCUCACGGCAACGUGAGGCGCAGAGAAUAGGCCCAGGCAACUGUUUAACAAAAACACAGGGCUGUGCAAACUCGAAAGAUGAUGUAUACAGCCUGACACCUGCCCGGUGCCGGAAGGUUAAGAGGAGGAGUCAGCCCCUUGUGGGUGAAGCCCCGAGUUGAAGCCCCGGUAAACGGCGGCCGUAACUAUAACGGUCCUAAGGUAGCGAAAUUCCUUGUCGGGUAAGUUCCGACCUGCACGAAUGGUGUAAUGAUCCGGACGCUGUCUCAACCAUGAGCUCAGUGAAAUUGUAGUAUCGGUGAAGAUGCCGAUUACCCGCGAUGGGACGAAAAGACCCCGUGAACCUUUACUACAGCUUAGCGCUGACCUUGGUCAUCCGAUGUGUAGGAUAGGCCGGAGGCUUCGAAGCGGGGACGCCAGUCUUCGUGGAGCCGCCCUUGAAAUACGGCCCUUUGGCUGUCCGAGGUCUAACGCGCGUUUUGCGCGGACACCGCUUGGCGGGUAGUUUGACUGGGGUGGUCGCCUCCAAAAGUGUAACGGAGGCUUCCAAAGGUGCCCUCAGGCCGAUUGGUAACCGGCCUCUAGAGUGCAAUGGCAUAAGGGCGCUUGACUGGGAGGGAGACAUCCCGAGCAGGCAGGAAACUGGGGCAUAGUGAUCCGGCGGACGCGUAUGGAAGCUCCGUCGCUCAAAGGAUAAAAGGUACUCCGGGGAUAACAGGCUGAUCCCCCCCA